AGAGUUUGAUCAUGGCUCAGGAUUAACGCUGGCGGCAUGCCUAAUACAUGCAAGUCGAACGAAACAGUUUACUGUUUAGUGGCGAACGGGUGAGUAAUACGUAUUUAAUCUACCCUUAAGUUGGGGAUAAUUACCGGAAACGGUGACUAAUACCGAAUAUCUUAUCGAAACACAAGUUUUGAUAAUGAAAGGAGCGUUUGUUUCGCUUUUGGAUGAGAAUACGUUGUAUUAGAUAGUUGGUGGGGUAACGGCCUACCAAGUCGAUGAUACAUAGUCGGACUGAGAGGUUGAACGACCACACUGGGAUUGAGAUACGGCCCAGACUCCUACGGGAGGUAGCAGUAAGGAAUUUUUCACAAUGGGGGAAACCCUGAUGAAGCAAUGCCGCGUGAUUGAAGAAGGUUUUAGGAUUGUAAAAAUCUGUGGUAAAGGAAAAAAAUCUAGGUAGAGAAAAAUACUUAGAAUUGAUAUUACUUUACUAGAAAGUCAUGACUAACUACGUGCCAGCAGUCGCGGUAAUACGUAGGUGGCAAGCGUUAUCCGGAUUCAUUGGGUGUAUAGUAUGCGUAGACGGAGAAACAAGUCAAAAAUCUAAAAAUAAGGCUCAACCUUAUACCAUUUUUGAUACUGUUUUUCUAGAGGGCAAAAGAUGUUAGUAGAAUUUCAUGUGUAGCGGUGAAAUGCGUGGAGAUAUGAAAGAAUACCAAAAGCGAAGGCAACUAACAUGUUUGUUCCUGACGUUGAGGCAUGAGAGCAUGGGUAGCAAAUAGGAUUAGAUACCCUAGUAGUCCAUAGCUGUAAACGAUGAGUGCUAGAUGUUUCAUGAGAAGUAUCGAAGCUAACGCGUUAAGCACUCCACCUGGGGAGUACGCACGCAAGUGUAAAACUCAAAGGAAUUGACGGGAACCCGCACAAGCG
This 918-nucleotide ribosomal RNA is filed under the name uncultured bacterium. RNAcentral's name for it is "bacterial SSU rRNA". It matches the Rfam family "Bacterial small subunit ribosomal RNA", at positions 8 to 931 of the family's 1533-position model. The record is from RNAcentral.